Molecule: non-coding RNA, 102 nt
Organism: Acanthosepion pharaonis
Lineage: Eukaryota; Metazoa; Mollusca; Cephalopoda; Sepiida; Sepiidae
Source: the annotation of a GenBank genome assembly
UUACGGCCACAUCACGUUGAAACAUUGGUUCCCAUACGGUCACCAAAGUUAAGCAACGUUGAACCUAGUCAGUACCUAUGGGUGACCGCUUGGGAAUACCAU